AAGUCAAGUUUUAUGGUGUGGUGAAGAAAAUUAACAUACUAAAUUUUACCUAUAGCAGUAAUUAUAUUAUACAUGAUAAAACUAGUAAUGGUUAUUAAAAUAAAAUGAGAUCUUAUCAGGCACAAAGAAGUCAUUAACUUGCAAUGUAUAACGUAUAUUUACAAUUUUU
This is a long non-coding RNA of Octopus sinensis (East Asian common octopus), 169 nucleotides long. RefSeq lists it as uncharacterized. The transcript is spliced from 4 exons. The record is from RefSeq and is a predicted model, not a curated record. Lineage: Eukaryota; Metazoa; Mollusca; Cephalopoda; Octopoda; Octopodidae.